ACGGCUCAGUAACACGUGGUCAACAUACCCAGAGGACGUGGAUAACCUCGGGAAACUGAGGAUAAACCGCGAUAGACCAUAAUGUCUGGAAUGAUUUAUGGUUCAAAUCUACAUGGCCUCUGGAUUGGACUGCGGCCGAUCAGGCUGUUGGUGAGGUAAUGGCCCACCAAACCUGAAACCGGUACGGGCUCUGAGAGGAGAAGCCCGGAGAUGGGCACUGAGACAAGGGCCCAGGCCCUAUGGGGCGCAGCAGGCGCGAAAUCUUUGCAAUAGGCGAAAGCCUGACAAGGUUACUCUGAGUGAUCUCCGCUAAGGAAAUCUUUUGACACCUCUAAAAAUGGUGUAGAAUAAGGGGUGGGCAAGCCUGGUGUCAGCCGCCGCGGUAAUACCAGCACCCCGAGUGGUCGGGACGAUUAUUGGGCCUAAAGCAUCCGUAGCCGGUUCCUUAAGUCCUCCGUUAAAUCCACCUGCUUAACAGAUGGGCUGCGGAGGAUACUAUAGAGCUAGGAGGCGGGAGAGGCAAGCGGUACUCAGUGGGUAGGGGUAAAACCCGUUGAUCCAUUGAAGACCACCAGUGGCGAAGGCGGCUUGCCAGAACGCGCUCGACGGUGAGGGAUGAAAGCUGGGGGAGCAAACCGGAUUAGAUACCCGGGUAGUCCCAGCUGUAAACGAUGCAGACUCGGUGAUGAACAGGCUUCGUGCCUGUUCAGUGCCGCAGGGAAGCCGUUAAGUCUGCCGCCUGGGGAGUACGGUCGCAAGACUGAAACUUAAAGGAAUUGGCGGGGGAG
This 788-nucleotide ribosomal RNA is filed under the name uncultured archaeon. RNAcentral's name for it is "bacterial SSU rRNA". It matches the Rfam family "Archaeal small subunit ribosomal RNA", at positions 85 to 876 of the family's 1478-position model. The record is from RNAcentral.